GGACAACUCUCUCUCUCAUUUUAACUUUCAGUAGCCUUAAACUCUUCCCUUAUUUUCACUUUCAUAGUCACCACACGCAAAAUCUUCAUCUUCUCCAUUAGUCGCUGCUCCUUCUCUUUUUUGAAAAUUCUCUCAUGUCGAUCGGCUUUCUUUCUCCGACGCUACCGUAGUUCUUCAACUGGUAAAAUUUUUCCUUUUUAUGUGUGAUCUGCUUUUGCUUGCUCGAUUUGUUGAGAAUCUGUUGACAGUUUGUUUCUAGCCUCUGAGAAAUUAUUUUCCUACUUGUUAUGUAAGGAAUUAAUAUUGAUUUGCAG
Molecule: unclassified non-coding RNA, 314 nt
Filed under: Hevea brasiliensis (rubber tree)
Lineage: Eukaryota; Viridiplantae; Streptophyta; Magnoliopsida; Malpighiales; Euphorbiaceae
Source: RNAcentral